GUGGGGAAUAUUGGACAAUGGGCGCAAGCCUGAUCCAGCCAUGCCGCGUGAGUGAUGAAGGCCUUAGGGUUGUAAAGCUCUUUUGUCCGGGAAGAUAAUGACUGUACCGGAAGAAUAAGCCCCGGCUAACUUCGUGCCAGCAGCCGCGGUAAUACGAAGGGGGCUAGCGUUGCUCGGAAUCACUGGGCGUAAAGGGCGCGUAGGCGGACUUUUAAGUCGGGGGUGAAAGCCCAGGGCUCAACCCUGGAAUUGCCUUCGAUACUGGGAGUCUUGAGUUCGGAAGAGGUUGGUGGAACUGCGAGUGUAGAGGUGAAAUUCGUAGAUAUUCGCAAGAACACCAGUGGCGAAGGCGGCCAACUGGUCCGAUACUGACGCUGAGGCGCGAAAGCGUGGGGAGCAAACAGGAUUAGAAACCCGGGUAGUCC
This 425-nucleotide ribosomal RNA is filed under the name uncultured bacterium. RNAcentral's name for it is "partial 16S ribosomal RNA". It matches the Rfam family "Bacterial small subunit ribosomal RNA", at positions 354 to 796 of the family's 1533-position model. The record is from RNAcentral.